AGCGAACGCUGGCGGCAGGCUUAACACAUGCAAGUCGAGCGGGCCCUUCGGGGUCAGCGGCGGACGGGUGAGUAACGCGUGGGAACGUGCCUUCUGGUCUGGAAUAACCCUGGGAAACUAGGGCUAAUACCGGAUACGCCCUUUUGGGGAAAGGUUUACUGCCGGAAGAUCGGCCCGCGUCUGAUUAGCGAGUUGGUGGGGUAACGGCCUACCAAGGCGACGAUCAGUAGCUGGUCUGAGAGGAUGAUCAGCCACACUGGGACUGAGACACGGCCCAGACUCCUACGGGAGGGAGCAGUGGGGAAUAUUGGACAAUGGGCGCAAGCCUGAUACAGCCAUGCCGCGUGAGUGAUGAAGGGCUUAGGGUUGUAAAGCUCUUUUAUCCGGGACGAUAAUGACGGUACCGGAGGAAUAAGCCCCGGCUAACUUCGUG
This 433-nucleotide ribosomal RNA is filed under the name uncultured bacterium. RNAcentral's name for it is "partial 16S ribosomal RNA". It matches the Rfam family "Bacterial small subunit ribosomal RNA", at positions 29 to 507 of the family's 1533-position model. The record is from RNAcentral.